This 497-nucleotide ribosomal RNA is filed under the name uncultured bacterium. RNAcentral's name for it is "partial 16S ribosomal RNA". It matches the Rfam family "Bacterial small subunit ribosomal RNA", at positions 28 to 507 of the family's 1533-position model. The record is from RNAcentral.
GAUGAACGCUGGCGGCGUGCCUAAUACAUGCAAGUCGAGCGAACAGACGAGGAGCUUGCUCCUCUGACGUUAGCGGCGGACGGGUGAGUAACACGUGGAUAACCUACCUAUAAGACUGGGAUAACUUCGGGAAACCGGAGCUAAUACCGGAUAACAUGUUGAACCGCAUGGUUUAACAGUGAAAGACGGUCUUGCUGUCACUUAUAGAUGGAUCCGCGCCGCAUUAGCUAGUUGGUAAGGUAACGGCUUACCAAGGCAACGAUGCGUAGCCGACCUGAGAGGGUGAUCGGCCACACUGGAACUGAGACACGGUCCAGACUCCUACGGGAGGCAGCAGAAGGGAAUCUUCCGCAAUGGUCGAAAGCCUGACGGAGCAACGCCGCGUGAGUGAAGAAGGUCUUCGGAUCGUAAAACUCUGUUAUUAGGGAAGAACAAAUGUGUAAGUAACUAUGCACGUCUUGACGGUACCUAAUCAGAAAGCCACGGCUAACUACGUG